GACGUAGGGCGCGAGCGUUGUCCGGAUUUAUUGGGCGUAAAGAGCUCGUAGGCGGCUCGUUGCGUCGGCUGUGAAAACCCGCAGCUCAACUGUGGGCUUGCAGCUGAUACGGGCGGGCUGGGAUUCGGUAGGGGAGACUGGAAUUCCUGGUGUAGCGGUGAAAUGCGCAGAUAUCAGGAGGAACACCGGUGGCGAAGGCGGUUCUCUGGGCAUUACCUGACGCUGAGGAGCGAAAGUGUGGGGAGCGAACAGG
This 253-nucleotide ribosomal RNA is filed under the name uncultured bacterium. RNAcentral describes it as "partial 16S ribosomal RNA". It matches the Rfam family "Bacterial small subunit ribosomal RNA", at positions 524 to 776 of the family's 1533-position model. The record is from RNAcentral.